Long non-coding RNA from Myiozetetes cayanensis, 982 nucleotides. RefSeq lists it as uncharacterized. The record is from RefSeq and is a predicted model, not a curated record. Lineage: Eukaryota; Metazoa; Chordata; Aves; Passeriformes; Tyrannidae. The transcript is spliced from 3 exons.
ACGGGGCAACCGCAGCCACCUGCGGGUCAGCCAGCGGAAAGGUUUCCCGGUUGUUGCAGUCUCCAAACUCGCCGUGCCUCGUUCCCGGCAGCCCUGCCCGGGCCAGCCCGGCUCAGCACAGCAGCGGAGAGGACGAGCCCGGCCAGGACACAGCAGAGCCCCGGGAGAGGUGACACGGGAGGGAAUGUCGGAUCCACAGGAGAUGCCGCCGCUCCCACCUGCCCCGGGAGAUCUGGGGGGCCCCUCCUGCCGCCUGCUCUUGGAACGGCUCCGGGAGAGACCUCCACGCAGAGAGGGGCACGUGCUGUGACCUGAAUCCCUGAGGGAAGAGGCUGUGCUCCCUGCUGCUCCCAGCUCCUGAACAGGGACAGCCCUGCCUGCGCCUGCCGGGAGUCCAGAGCGCAGCAAUCGCAGCUCCAGCCACCAGAUCUCCCUGCCAGCAGUCCCUCCUUCCUGCUGCAGCUGCAGGUGAUGCCCCAGUCAGCUUCUUCAGGCUCCAGCUGUGGCUGUGCAGUGCUCCAGGUGCUUCCAGGCUGCUCCAGUUCAUUCCAGCUAUGGCUCUGAGAUGCUCCAGUUUGUUCCAGCUAUGGCUCUGAGAUCCUCCAGUUUGUUCCAGCUCUGCCUCCGAGACGCUCCAGUUGAUGGCUGCUCCAGUUGGUUCCAGCUCUGGCUCCGAGAUGCUCCAGUUGAUUCCAGCUCUGGCUCCGAGAUGCUCCAGUUGGUUCCAGCUCUGGCUCCGAGAUGCUCCAGCUGGUUCCAGUUCUGGCUCUGAGAUGUUCCAGUUGAUUCCAGCUCUGGCUUAUUAAAUGUUGCUUCUUGUUGCAAGCCAGUUAAAGCUCCAGGUGCUUGGAGCGAUUUGGGCUUCUGGCCAAGUUGUAAAUCACUCACUGUCAUCGAGUGUAUAUGAAUAUGAGCUGUCAUAAUUGUCUCAAUAUUGUAGCUAUUCCGGUGUUUGUACAAAUAAAGAGUUGGACUGGAAAAA